GACGAACGCUGGCGGCGUGCUUAACACAUGCAAGUCGAACGGAAAGGCCCUGCUUGCAGUGUACUCGAGUGGCUAACGGGUGAGUAACACGUGGGUGAUCUGCCCUGCACUUCGGGAUAAGCCUGGGAAACUGGGUCUAGUACCUGAUAGAUGCCAGUUUUAGUGUGAUGGUUGGAACGUUUUGUCGGUGUAGGAUGAGCUCGCGGCCUAUCAGCUUGUUGGUGGGGUAAUGGCCGACCAAGGCGGCGACGGGUAGCCGGCCUGAGAGGGUGGACGGGCACAUUGGGACUGAGAGACGGACCAGAAGCCUACGGGAGGCAGCAGUGGGGAAUAUUGCACAAUGGGCGCAAGCGUGAUGCAGCGACGCCGCGUGGGGGAUGACGGCCUGCGGGUUGUAAACUCCUUUCGCUAGGGACGAAGCUCUUUGUGACGGUACCUAGACAAGAAGCACCGGCUAACUACGUG
Molecule: ribosomal RNA, 465 nt
Filed under: uncultured bacterium
Lineage: Bacteria
Description: partial 16S ribosomal RNA
Rfam family: Bacterial small subunit ribosomal RNA
Source: RNAcentral